Molecule: long non-coding RNA, 196 nt
Organism: Dinoponera quadriceps
Lineage: Eukaryota; Metazoa; Arthropoda; Insecta; Hymenoptera; Formicidae
Exons: 3
Source: RefSeq, a predicted model, not a curated record
AUUAUUCAAGCAGAUGACGAAAUCAGGCUAAAAAUUGUAGGCACGAGAGUCGAUGCUACAGGAAUUUUCGCUAUUGGAACGUUAAUGGAUGAUUAUUUAGGUCUCGUAUGCAAUUAACAUCUGCAUUUUUAUAUUAUAAUAAAUUAUAUAAAUAUUUAUAAUAAGAAAAUUAUAUAAUAAUAAAUAAAUAAUAAUU